This 465-nucleotide ribosomal RNA is filed under the name uncultured bacterium. Its description in RNAcentral is "partial 16S ribosomal RNA". It matches the Rfam family "Bacterial small subunit ribosomal RNA", at positions 338 to 795 of the family's 1533-position model. The record is from RNAcentral.
CCUACGGGUGGCAGCAGUAGGGAAUCUUCCACAAUGGGCGAACGCCUGAUGGAGCAACGCCGCGUGGGUGAAGAAGGUCUUCGGAUCGUAAAACCCUGUUGUUAGAGAAGAAAGUGCGUGAGAGUAACUGUUCACGUUUCGACGGUAUCUAACCAGAAAGCCACGGCUAACUACGUGCCAGCAGCCGCAGGAAUACGUAGGUGGCAAGCGUUAGCCGGAUUUAUUUGGCGUAAAGGGAACGCAGGCGGUCUUUUAAGUCUGAUGUGAAAGUCUUCGGCUUAACCGGAGUAGUGCAUUGGAAACUGGGAGACUUGAGUGCAGAAGAGGAGAGUGGAACUCCAGGUGUAGCGGUGAAAUGCGUAGAUAUAUGGAAGAACACCAGUGGCGAAGGCGGCUUUCUGGUCUGUAACUGACGCUGAGGUUCGAAAGCGUGGGUAGCAAACAGGAUUAGAUACCCUAGUAGUC